RNAcentral lists this long non-coding RNA (336 nucleotides) under Medicago truncatula (barrel medic). RNAcentral's name for it is "lncRNA gene50788". The record is from RNAcentral. Lineage: Eukaryota; Viridiplantae; Streptophyta; Magnoliopsida; Fabales; Fabaceae.
GCAUAACGCAUCAUUGAUUAUUCAUUUUGCCGUUAAGGCGUUUUCUUUGUUUUGUCAUAACAUAACAGACAGAUUAUACUAUACUCACAGCCUGCGCUCCUUCACGUAUACCACAUUUUAUUACUUUAUUCCUUUCAUAAAAUAAUACUAAAAAGGCCUGCCUUUAAAAACUAAUAAAAAGAUACUAAUCUUUAUCAUUAAUAUUUUUACUCUUUUAUUUUUGUCAAAAAAAUAAAUAAAUUAGAUGAGUUGAAUUCAAGAGUUAACCGGGUGUUUUAUGUCAAUGGUGAGAAUUGAAAGUGAUUGGUGUUUGUUUGUUUGGAUCCGUUUAAAAAC